RNAcentral lists this unclassified non-coding RNA (520 nucleotides) under uncultured Glomus. RNAcentral's name for it is "SSU rRNA". It matches the Rfam family "Eukaryotic small subunit ribosomal RNA", at positions 569 to 1093 of the family's 1831-position model. The record is from RNAcentral. Lineage: Eukaryota; Fungi; Glomeromycota; Glomeromycetes; Glomerales; Glomeraceae.
AGCAGCCGCGGUAAUUCCAGCUCCAAUAGCGUAUAUUAAAGUUGCUGCAGUUAAAAAGCUCGUAGUUGAAUUUCGGGACUAAUAUGUCGGUCGUGCCUCGGUACGUACUGGUUUAUUGGUUUCUCCUUUCUGAAGAACCAUGAUGUCAUUUAUUUGGUGUCGUGGGGAAUCAGGACUGUUACUUUGAAAAAUUAGAGUGUUUAAAGCAGGCUCACGCUUGAAUACAUUAGCAUGGAAUAAUGAAAUAGGGCGUUUGAUUCUAUUUUGUUGGUUUCUAGGAUCGACGUAAUGAUUAAUAGGGAUAGUUGGGGGCAUUAGUAUUCAAUUGUCAGAGGUGAAAUUCUUGGAUUUAUUGAAGACUAACUACUGCGAAAGCAUUUGCCAAAGAUGUUUUCAUUAAUCAAGAACGAAAGUUAGGGGAUCGAAGACGAUCAGAUACCGUCGUAGUCUUAACCAUAAACUAUGCCGACUAGGGAUCGGAUGAUGUUAAUUUUUUAAUGACUCAUUCGGCGCCUUAACC